UCUCUGUCCUCUCUCUGUUCCCUCUCUGUCCCCUUUCUGUUCCCCUCAGGGUCUGCGUUCUGGUCCUGUCUUCCUGCUAUCUGGCCUUCAGGAUCGUUUCACUGGAACAGAAACUGACGAUGCUCGGCUCCAUCAGCGACUUCACGCAUCACGAAAGCAGUCUCCUUCCUGGGAGUCCUGAUGUGAACACGGAGCUCUUCUCUGAACUGUUGGCCAUCAACCUGCUGAAGCUGGAGAAGGUCCAGAAGAAUCUGCAGAGGCUGCUGGAAGAAGCUGCAUGACUGAACUGGGAACCAGUAUGAGAGCUUUGUACAUAAACUGUGAAUAUUUAAUUUAUUCUAUGCAGGCAGUAAAACGGGAACCUGCUGCAGCCGAGGCCUGAGAAAUUAAUCAAACUGUAAACUGACUGACUUUCUGUUAAAUUCAUGCUGGCAGUGAAACCGACGCCUACUUUUAGAAACAAACAGUGACGUCGCCCUCUACCUGCAGGAAAAGUAUCUGCAUCCGAUAACUGUAAAGAAGCCAUCAGAACCAAACUGGAUCAAUGUGAACAAUUAACUGGCUUUGACUAGGCCAAAACACAUCUCCAAAGGUGGAGCUGCUGGUGGGAAUCAGUAGCUGCGUUUCCGUUACAAAUGUACGCUAAGCUGUGUUAAUGUCACGCUAAUGUCGAAAAACAGAGUUUUAUAAUUGCAGUGUUUCCAUUAAAUCAGAAACACAAUUAAAAUCAAACAGGA
Molecule: long non-coding RNA, 737 nt
Organism: Poecilia latipinna (sailfin molly)
Lineage: Eukaryota; Metazoa; Chordata; Actinopteri; Cyprinodontiformes; Poeciliidae
Exons: 3
Source: RefSeq, a predicted model, not a curated record